This is a long non-coding RNA of Passer domesticus (house sparrow), 3620 nucleotides long. RefSeq lists it as uncharacterized. The record is from RefSeq and is a predicted model, not a curated record. The transcript is spliced from 3 exons. NCBI's taxonomy places the organism in Eukaryota, Metazoa, Chordata, Aves, Passeriformes, Passeridae.
GCCCCGCUCAGCUGCUGUCACCACUUGUCAGACUUGGAGUCAUUUUUCAGGGUAGGUAUCAACUGUAAUUCUGAGGGCUGCUUUGGGAUCAUCUUAAGACCUUGGCCCAUUGGCACAGAUUUUGGUGCUGAUCUGAAGCCACUGAGGAUUUGAGUCUUCUUUCCAAACUAGUUAAGGAAGGAUUCCCACUCAAAUUAACAGCAUUUGAAUAACAGAUAGCGAGCACUGCUUGAAGAAUACAGCAGUUAUUGUCAUUUCAGAACCACAAGAAAAUAAAGUUCAAAAUAAAUACUAAGACUGUUCAUGCUAGAGAAGGCAGUAUUAGCCUAGUCCCAGAGGAAUGCCCCUCCUUCAAGCUUCACAGAUCUAGGUCCAAAACUGGAAAUCACACCAGCUGAAUUUGUGAGGCAAGAAGAGCAUAGAGGUAAUGAGAGUCACCACAUGACAGAAGAGAAACAGCUUAGAAAACUUCAGCACUGGGGCAUUAACAUGAUUCUCAGCUGUACAGCCAGACUUUCAUUUGAUGUCUACUGGAAAGGUUGCAUCACAGCUAAGCUGACUUAUCCUCGCUGAAGAUCUCUUGCUUUAGAGCUUUGGGCUACCCUGGUGACUUACAUUCUUAUACAUGUAAGAGGAUUUGUUCUACAUAAGUUAUUGACUGAUAUUUUAUUAACAUAAGAAAGAAAGGUAUGUUGAUGUAUUGGAUGUAACCGCUAAAAUCUGGCUCAGAGUGGUUACUGGAAUUCCUGGGGGUUUUUUGUGAUUCAUGUUUGUUCUACUUAAGAGUUGCUAUUCUUGCAGGGAUAAGAGAACAGUCUUGCCUUCCUUAGCACAGAAGUCAGGAUGGAGAGUUUGGACUCCUACAGAACCUCUUACAAGAGCUGCUGUGUACAGCAACUCUUUUCAAGAGCUGUUUCCUUACAUCUGAAAGUGAAUCACGCUGCUCAUGUCCUGUCUGUUUGGACUAGCUUGACACACAAAUAUUUGAGUGGGAGUCUCGUGCAUGAGGAAAAGAAAUGCUCAGGAAAAUUCACUUGAGUAACUGGUGGACGAGUUGUGCUACAGAGAUAUACAGAUGCAUGUUGGGCUUCUAAACCUGUGAAAUGUGAACAAUUCAUGUCCUAAAUGUUACUUCCAAAAAGGAAGCCAAGUUUUUUCAGGUUGUCUUUUCACUUUCUGUCAAAAGAAAAAGACUCUUCUUAGCAGCUGCAUCCCUGACCAAGGACCUGGAAAACCUCAAGGAAGAUCUCUGCCUGCAUGAGCAGAAAUGUUCUCUGCCUACAGAAAGCUAGAAGAUCCUGCUGCCACCACUGGGACAGCAUGCUUCCCUCUUCACACUGAUGGUGUCCAAAUCAAUUUGAGGCAUUGGUGGUCUGGAUAUGGUACAUGUGAGGAGGAUCCUCUCUGCUUUUCAGACACAUCUAUGAAUCUAAGAGGGAACUUCUGAGGUAAAACAUCAAUGACCAAAACAACGGAGAUUUUUUUUAUUCACUAUAAAGUGUUUUCUGUCCCUCCAAAUCAAGUACGUGUCAGAUCAUUCAGAUAUUCUCACUGUCUGUCCCCUCCAAAGCUAUUCAGCCACACUGAUCACUGCAGCUGAUCAUCAGGUGGUGUAUUACAGCUAUUACCUAUUACUCCCUGGAGCCCUUCUGUCAUUUGUGCUCUCCCAGCAUGGUCCCCCAGCCUUUCCUUUAGGGAACAUGGCUAGAGCCUCUCUGGCUCUGGGAGGUCCUGUGACAUUCUGGACACAGUCCAAAUAGAGACUACCUUAGCAACUAGAAGGAGGAACAGAAGAAUACUCUCUAAGUCUUUAUUGAUAACAAUAUCAUGAAUGUCUAUUAAUAUAGUUCCAAGUGCUCAAAAAGUGCUAAAAUAAUAAUAUUCAUUCCUGGAGAGAGAGCAACAACCCCUUCUUCCUGAAAGUCCCUCCCUGGAGCAGUUAUUCCAGUCAAUCAUAUACCUUGAUUUUAUAUCUUUCAAUUAUUUACAUUAUUUGCUAUAGAGUUCUCUGAUAUGACUUGGUAUUUGCAGGCUGAAUUUCUGAAAAGAAUGUUUUAAUCAAGGAAACAUGCAGGACAUCUUCACUGUAGUUCAACCCUUUGUCAAGGAACAGAGUUCUAGACCAUGUGUUUCAAAUAUUUGAUGAGGCAGCAUAACACACUCCAAAGUAGUACAUCAGUAGGUCUCAAAACUUGUCUUUUUAGGCAGAGUUUACCCCAGUGGGCUGCCCAAGGAUAUAAAAUAAUGAUCUUGCACUCACCCACUGAGCCAGGAUGCCCAGCUGGGACAGCCCACUAGUCCUGAAUAUCACCCCACUUCUCCAAGGCUUGACUGGUUGUUUAUGUUGGAGGGGAAUUGCAAGCUGGAUUGUGUAAGGCAUUGUAAAAGCUCUACCAGAUAGCUUUUUUUUUAGUUUCAUUUUCUGAUAAAAAUUAUGUUUUGGGCUGGAAACUCCCACAAGCCAGAGCCAAGAGGAGCACAUUUUCCCUCUGUCUCUGCCCAACCUGCCAUGGGUCCCACUACACUGCCUGGGUGACACCACCCAUCUGAUAUGUCUGUCUGCUAAAUGUGUGAAACAAGGUUAUUUCAUGUAUCUUAAUAAUAAAUUCAAGUGGGUGAUGGGGCGGGGGAAGCUCUUUAAAGUUUGUGGCUGUUAAGAAGUGGUUUUGUGCUAAUUCAUCCAGGCUGGGAUCUUCCUCUCAGUCCAGCUGGUGGUACACUCAGGUGCAAGAGGAGCCUGUAGCCCUGUGCCUGGGGGUGGGUCCUGAAACUCCCCAAGUGCAUCACAGCGUUGUGAAAUCUGGGGCCAAGCAAAGUGACUCCCUCAUUUUUCUGAGAUUAGUAGAUCUCUUGGGAAUGAAGGGAAUCUGGAAUAUCCCAGUAGCACCUUCUAUGGUAUAAAUGUGAGAAUGCCUUCUUGCAUUUGAAGGCUGAGGUAUUUGUGAGGAUACAUUUUUAUGCCUUGCUGUGUCAGAGAAAAAUGCUUUGAUCAAAACAGUUCUUUCUCUAUUUUUCCCCCAUUUAAAAUAGCACAGUGUAUAAAAAAGACAGAAAUAUCUACUGGAUCUGGUCUUUGUGUUGAACUUUAGAUUUAGAAACUAAUGUGUGUUAGGGAAAAGUAUAUAAGUAGAGAUGGCUCACUGGGGUACUAACAGUGUAAAAGGCAGAUAAAAAAUGCAGAGAUAAUUGCUUUCAGCCUCCUUUUCUGGAACUACUCAUCCUUCCCAGGGCUGCACAGAAUGCAGCUGCACAGCACUGAGGAUUUUAGCUGCAAUUUUUUUUUGGUCUUUGAAGACAUCAGUGACACAUGAGGACUGCCCAUACAUGUAAUUUCAAAAAACACACACAUUCUCUGCUUCCUGGAAAAAGGUGUAAAGAAGAAGGUGUCCUUAGCUGGGACUCAGCAGAGGGACCAGUUUCCAGCAGUCAGAGACAUUUUGCUUGGUUUGAGUCUAAAUGCUUCAUAACAGUCAUCUCUAAUUUACCCUAUAAUUAAUGGUGGACAGCAAAUGCUUCCCCCAACCAUGGGUGCUGCAAGAGUAAUUUUGUUUUUACUUUUUAUCCACUCAGAGAUUUAUAGUGAUGGGACCAUAUAAAUACAGAGGGAACAGCUGGGCUAG